Molecule: ribosomal RNA, 250 nt
Filed under: uncultured bacterium
Lineage: Bacteria
Description: partial 16S ribosomal RNA
Rfam family: Bacterial small subunit ribosomal RNA
Source: RNAcentral
UACAGAGGUCCCAAGCGUUGUUCGGAAUCACUGGGCGUAAAGGGUGCGUAGGUGGUCAUUAAAGUUUGAUGUGAAAGCUCCGGGCUCAACUCGGAAAGGGCAUUAAAAACUCAAUGGCUGGAGGGUUGGAGGGGAGACUGGAAUUCUCGGUGUAGCAGUGAAAUGCGUAGAUAUCGAGAGGAACACCAGUGGCGAAGGCGAGUCUCUGGACAACACCUGACACUGAGGCACGAAAGCUAGGGGAGCAAAC